Molecule: unclassified non-coding RNA, 324 nt
Filed under: uncultured fungus
Lineage: Eukaryota; Fungi
Description: partial contains 5.8S ribosomal RNA and internal transcribed spacer 2
Rfam family: 5.8S ribosomal RNA (bases 1-133)
Source: RNAcentral
UGGUUCUGGCAUCGAUGAAGAACGCAGCGAAAUGCGAUAAGUAGUGUGAAUUGCAGAAUUCAGUGAAUCAUCGAAUCUUUGAACGCACAUUGCGCCCCUUGGUAUUCCAUGGGGCAUGCCUGUUCGAGCGUCAUUUGUACCUUCAAGCUCUGCUUGGUGUUGGGUGUUUGUCUCGCCUCUGCGCGUAGACUCGCCUCAAAACAAUUGGCAGCCGGCGUAUUGAUUUCGGAGCGCAGUACAUCUCGCGCUUUGCAUUCAGAACGACGACAUCCAAAAGUACAUUUUUACACUCUUGACCUCGGAUCAGGUAGGGAUACCCGCUGA